Molecule: long non-coding RNA, 30479 nt
Filed under: Elaeis guineensis (African oil palm)
Lineage: Eukaryota; Viridiplantae; Streptophyta; Magnoliopsida; Arecales; Arecaceae
Description: long non-coding RNA (EGUI_LNC028818)
Source: RNAcentral
UAUUUGCAUCGCCACGGAUUGCUCGUCUUGGGUCUAUAAAUAGCCUUAACAUACAUUGCUAGUCUUCAGACGUCCCAUAGCCACCAAAUUUCUCUUCUCCUGGUAGCUGUGAGCUUUAGUAAAUUCUCAAACCACCAUGCCAGUUCAUAAUCCUCCCACUAUGAAUCCGUCACAGUUCAGGGACUGGCUCAAACGUGUCGACCUCAAUGGAGAUGGUCGCAUCAGUAGGGAUGAGCUGAAACGAGCACUCCGUGAUCUUGGAAUAAAUUGGGCGACACUGAAGGCGUGGUUGGCUGUGUUCAGGAACGACCUCAACCAUAACCAUUGCAUCGAUGGUGAAUUGGAGAUUAAGAAGCUGCAAGAGUAUGCAGCCAAGCACUGGGGAAUCGUCGUCCGUGAAUGAUGGCAUGCAUGACAUGGAUGCAUGUGCCAUUAAUAAAUCAAGUCUACCAUCUCUCUGUCUUUAGGUUCUCUAUAUUAUGUCCUCCUAUAAUAGCUAGAACUGCAUGUUUCCUGUAUGCGCUGCUUUUCUUGUUGUUAGCUGACCUUGUGCGUAUGCGCGCGCCUCAUUUUCUGUUGUUCUAGUUUGGUGUUAAAUAACCUAUAAUGAAAGAGCUUCGUCUGCUUAAAAAAAGGUGGAAGGAGCUCCUAAUGAAGUAUGCUUAAAGUUGUCAUGAUGUCAACUUUCUGCUCCUUUUGUUUAUAUUUAUGUGUGUGUGUGUGUGUGUGUGUUUAUGAACAUGGCCGGGCUUUCCUAGCUUAUAAUAACUUGAUUUAGCUUUUUAUUUUUUUGAAAAUUACUUUUUUUUUGGGUGGGGGUGAUGCUCUUCUGACCAUUCUUUUGGUGGACAAGGAAGUGAAGAGCACAGAUAAGAUGGACACACAAGCCACCAUUUCUCCCGAAAGCAUUAAAGGAAGCAAAAUGAUUUCUUACCUCGCAUAGAAGCUGCCAGUGUAGACACAUCACCAAGGGUUAAUGGAGAGGGAAAAAAUGAAAAAGGCAAAUUAUAUAGAGAAAAAAAAAGGGGGACACUAGGUAGAUGAUGCAAAUAUAUAUAAUAAAUAAUAUAACAAAAACAAAUAGAUUUGUUGAGUAUGUCUCGAACUAAAAAGGUUUAGAAAUGCAAAAAGAGACCUUUUGCCGGAGCAAAGCAAGCAAAGCGAGUAGAGCAACAAAGCUGUAAGAAUCUGGACCCUUUAAUUAUUCCUGCAUGAAUCUGAAAAUAGGAAUNNNNNNNNNNNNNNNNNNNNAUUUCUGUCUAUAAAUUUUCCAGCCCUCUCACUCUAUGCAUCGCUCAAAUCUUCAGUAAAUCGCCGGUGAUAUCAUAGGGUUUAGAAGGUUCUUUCUGUCGUAUUUUCUUUUUUUUUUUUUGUUUUUUUUUGAGAAGUGGUUUUCUGUAUCUUUUUGUUUUAAGACUAUAGCAGCGUGAUGAUACAAGAAACAAGUAACAAUAUAAAGUCAUGGGCUGAUCCCGUUCCUCACCGCAUUUCAUCAAUUGGUUCCCCACAUUUUUGCUCAAGUAAAACUCAGGCUUGUGGCCCGACAUAAUGAAGGAAUACGAAAUCUGCGACGUGCUUCAUCCAUGCACUUAUAAGGCAUUUCUUGUCAUUAACUAAAGGUGAUCGACUACCAUCCCAUUCCACCUUUCUAAAAGACUCGGAAUAAAACUUUCGGUUUCGUCUUUACGUCUGUCUUUCAACUUAACUUGAGAGCCGAAUCAUCUGUUCGCAUGUUGAUCACUUGAUGUUGGCCUUUUCCUUAAUGGCUUGGCUCGAGGAGUUAGGUUGCGAAUUCAAAAGAAAUGCUACACUUGCGUCUCAUGAACACAUCUAUAGUUAAUAUCUCAAGGUGCUGAAUAACCGAUCAAUUGACCAAGUUAAAAAGUAACAUGCACCACUGAGUAAGUUCGCUGGAUCAUUUGACUGACUCAAAAAGUUGCUGAUAUUGUAUCACAAGAUGCUGUGCAAUCUAUCAAAGGACUGAGCCAAAAAGUUUUAUUCUAUACCCCAGUCGAAUCAACUUUAUUAACAAAAAGGAAUCCAUAUUUUGUUUUGCCAAAAACAAAAAAGAAAUCCACAUUUUGGUCAAGCCACUGCUAUGGUCCCGUAAAAAGCCAUGUGGGCUAUUCAAUGAAUGUUCAAAACCAAUUAUGAUUACGUACUCAUAGAUUUUGUAAUUUUUAUUUCUAUAAAUUUUGCAGAAAAGAAUACAGCUGAUUUUUUAAUUAAAAUAUACUUUAUUCAUUUUUAGAGGCAAUCUAUAUUGGAUGCUUGUAUCUUCAUGAUCACUAGUUGAUGAGGUUGCACCUUGUUAUUAAAGGCAAAGAUAUAAUAAUAUGGUAAAGUCUAAAAUAGAAGAACCUAUUAACCUUAAAAAGUAAACAAUAAUAAUUUUUUUAUAGAAUACUUUUAUAUUACUAUUUUUGACAAUAUACACAAGCUGAAUUCUUGUUUGUUGGAUGAAAUAGUGAUGUAAGCCUUUUGCAUGCCAAAGAAAGAUACCACGUCUUGCUUGGACCCAUGUCCACCAUGUCAAUGUGAUACCUCCUUGAGGGAUCCUACCCAUGUGUGCAGCAAAAAUUGAAGAGCGAAGGUAGAGAGAUUAAAUUGUAAGGUUGGCAUUAAUAUAUCAUUUUUUUUCAAAAUAUUAGAACUCACCAUUUAUCAUAUUUCCUCUUCAUCAUCUUAUCAUCUCCCCUUUCGGAUUGGUGAAAUAUCACAAAUAUGGUACUCGACAUCGAAAUGGCCAUGAAUAGAUUUAGGAGCAAUGGAUAUCCAAAAUGAAAAAUAAUAUCAACGUCAAUACUCGUUGCUUACAACAAAGUCAAUCCAUUAAUAGGGUCCUCUAUCUAAUACCCAGGUUAUUAUGGAUCAAGAUUGUGCUGCAAAUCAAAAUACAAAAAGAGAUUGUUAUCGUAACGGCCCAGGUUCUUGGGCCUGUAAACCCUUGACAGCCCAAUGAAAAAAAAAAAAAGAAUGAAAAAUUAAGGGAAGGAGGAAGACUCCUAAUUGGAGUCUUCUUUUUCUCUAUUUCCGAUGAAAUCGGACACGAAGAGUCCGGCUAGGGUAGAAGAUCUUCCCUAUAAAGACCCUCCUUCCCUCCCUUAGGACCUUACAACAAACUUUCGAAGAAAUAAAAGGGAUAUUUUCAAAAGAGAGAGCCGUGAGCAGUUGAUCAGAAGAGAGGGGCUACCGGAGCUGUUUUUGGCUGUCGGAAUAAGGUAUGUAUCUUCUCCCUUCUUUUCGGAUUGAUCUUUCUGGCCAUCGACGUGCUUGAAAGCCGGCAAGAUGCCGGUUUGGGCUCAAACAGGGCACCCUUAUUUGUGUUGUUUCUCUCCUUCCGUCGCUGACAGCAGGGAUGGGUGGGGCUGCCAUCGGGACGGUAGCAUCGCCGCCACUGGGGUUACCGAGGAGGGUGGUCGGAGAUGGCCUACCCGGGCCGUGGGAAGAGGAGGCAUUCGAGAUGGGGGUCGGGUCCCCUGCUUUGAUCGUGGGGAAGAGGAGAAGAAAUCUCUUCUCUCUUCUCAAAAUAAAAUUUUAAAAAAUAAUAAUAAUAAUAAUUAAAAAAAAUUAAGACACAGGUAAGGGUUCUGAUAAACCUCAAUAUAUGAUUUUUUUAAAAAAAUUAAUUUGGUUAAAUUGAUUUGUUUGAUAGAAAAACAGUCCAACGAACAGGAGGACAACAAGUAGGAUUUUGAUAUUCAGACUGUAAGGCUGUGAGUUUGAUUUCUCAUUGAUCGAGAUAAGAAUUCUAUACAUGAUCAUCACUAUAUAUGUUAUUUGUUCAUUAGUUUUAUGAUGUUGAUUUUGCAUUACUGGAUUUAUGAUCGAUGAGUUUUUAUGCUUGAGACAACGAUAUAUGGCUUAUAUGAUUUUUUUUAAAUAUAAGCAUGUUAUGAAAAGAUUUCUAUGAUUGAUGGUAUGAGUCUUAUGGAUAUGACAUAUCAAUUUGAUCAACCUGUAAUUUAAAAUUAAUUCAAUGAAAUCAAUAAUUAAAUGAAAAGAAUAUGAUUUGGACUAGCCUCGAUAUAUGGAUCAGCCGGUCAGGAGCUCAUGCCUGGGACAGCCCGCCAGGAGCUUAUGCCUGGGAUAGCCCCUACUGCCUUAUAGGUGGAUCAGCCAGUUAGGAACUCAUACUUGGGACAGCCCGUUAGGAGCUUAUGCCUGAGACAGCCUCUCACGGAUUUUCGUACGUGGGACAACCGGUCAGGAGCUCAUCUUGGGACAGCCUUGAAAGGCUUAUAUGAAAAGAAAAAUUGGAUUGGAAAGAGAUUGAGGUAUGGUCUGGGUUAGUCUAAAGCCAAAAGGGAUAAAAGAUUGUCAAACCGAAGAUGUGAAAAGAUGAAACAUAUAACAUAUAAUUCAAGAAUGAAUGAAAACUUGGUGAUAUGUGAUGAUCCAUAUUUAUUAAAUGCAUGUUCAUGUCAAUAUUCGAGUUAUUAUAUACGUAUGAGCCUUCACAAAAUUAUAUUAGUUUUAAAAAUAUUAAUUUUAUCUAUUGGCUUGAUGUACAUGUGCAGUGAUUCUUACUGAGCUGGAGAAGCUCAUAUUUCCUUCUUGUUUUUUUUUCAGACUCACAGGAUACUUAGUUUGGAUGGUUUGGAUGAGAGCAAAAAAGAACUGAAGCCUUUAGUAGUUCAGUUAGUUUAAAUUCUCUAAUACCAAUGAACAUUUGAAUAAUUGUAUUGAAUAAAGUUUACUUUUGAUUUGAAGUUGUGACUCGAUUGAUUUAUUUGAUAUUUAUUUGAUUAUUUAAAAUUUUGAAGUAUUAAUUAUUUAGGCCUUACAUGAUCCUUAGGGCGCUGCUCUAGGGUUUGUGUGACCGUGUCACGUGACCAACUCAGGUGCUGAGUUCGGAGUAUGACAGAAUGGUAUCAGAGCCUAGGUUUAAGAAUCCUAGGAUUCAUUUCAAAGAGAGAGUAUAUGGGUAGACUUUUAGAUAGAAAUUAACUAAUAUGAGAUAUUUUCUUAAUUUUUCUAACUAAAGUGAAACUGUGUAGGUUGACAUGGCACGAGGAACUGAGCAUGGGCGUAAUCGGAUACCUACUCGAUUUGCGGAUGGCUCUAAUGCUUGGGAGCCAGCUAUGCAACAAAAAAAUGCUCCACCCUCACCGGUUGAUGAUGCACCACAACAAGAACAUCCUAUUGAGCCUGCCGAGAUCACUCAUAGGGAAGAAACUCCGAGAGAAUCUGAAAUUCAACCUGGGGAACAAGUUACUGCAGCUCAGUUAAUGUAAGUACUAGUUCAACAACAAGUUGCUGCGAGAGAAGAUAUGAGGAGGAUAUUGGAGGUGCAGCAGGGACAACAACAGCAGAUCAUACAACAAAUAUUUCAGGAGCGACAGUCCCAGCAGCAACAAGGAGCUGGAAAUUAGUAUGAACGUCAAAUCAAUUUAUUAGAUUUUAAAAAGUAUGCACCACUGGCAUUCUCAGGGACCUCAGAUCCUAUGGAAGCUGAAAGCUGACUGAAAGCAAUAGAAAAAAUUUUCCAUGCUUUGAGAUGCCCUACUAAGAAUAAGAUCACUUUUGCCACUUUUAUGUUACAAGGUGAGGCAGCCGAUUGGUGGGAGAUGAAAAUUGAAAAAAUGAGGCCAAAUGAUGUACCUUUUACAUGAAAAAAAUUUAGAAAGGUCUUCUAUGAGAAGUAUUUUUCUCAAAAUAUCCGACUCCAAAAAUUUUAAAAGUUCGAUCGACUGGUACAGGGCCACAUGAUAAUUGCUCAAUAUGCGGCCAAAUUUGAAGAAUUGUCGAGAUAUGCCCCUACAUUGAUAGCUGAGAAAAAUAUUCGAGCCAGAAAAUUUGAAAAUGGACUAAGGGAUAGAAUCCAACAAUUAGUGACUGUAUUUGAGCUAUCCACUUAUAAAGAAGUUGUCAACAAAGGCUUAAUAAUAGAAAAAGGACUUAAUGAUGCUCAAGUAGCAAGAGAGAAAAGUAUGAAGAAAAGGGGUUAAGCAAUUGAUUCUCAAGGUCAAAGUAUCAGAGCUUUCAAACCAAAGACCCCCAAAUCAAGCCAGACUACCACUAAAAGUGAAGUACAAUCUCAAGGGAACAUUAUAUGUUACAAAUGUGGAGGAUCCCAUCUUAAACGAGAUUGCACAUGGCCCAGAGGACAAUGUUACAAAUAUGGAUGAGAUAGCCAUAAAGCAAUUGUAUGCCGCAGUGGAGAAAAAUCACAGAGACAGCAGAUGCCUCAAAAUUUUCAAAAUACCCUCGCAAAUCGGACACCCUAAGAUGUACAAAGAUAAGAUGGGGGACAACAAAAAUCAAGAACCCAAGGACGAGUCUAUGCACAUACACAACAGGAUGCUAAUGCUUCUAACUCAGUGGUGAUAGGUACUGAAUCGAUCCCCUAAAUUCUUUUAUAUAUGUCAUAAAAUAUUAUAUGCUUAGAUAUAUAUGGACAUAUAGCCUUGGAUGAUAAAUGAAUAUUAUGUAAAUAUCUAACAGGUAUGAUUAAAAUAGCAUCCAAUGAUGUCUAUACUCUAUUUGACCCUGGAGCUACCCACUCUUUUAUAUCAACUAGUUUUAUUAAGAGAAACAAUAAGAUGUCUCCUGCACCUUUAGAAAAUGAUCUUUGUGUCUGCAUGCCAAGUGGAAAGGUGAUAUUGGUUAAUUCAAUUUGCAAAGAUUGUAUACUGAGUAUUGAAGAUAGAAAGAUGAAAGUAGACUUAUUAGUCUUAGAGAUGAAGGACUUUGAUCUAAUCCUGGGGAUGGAUUGGUUAGCAGCAUAUCAUGCUACAGUUGAUUGCUUCAAAAAUACAAUAAAGUUUCAAAUUUUGGAUCAGUCAGAGUUUAGUUUUAUGAGUAAUAAACCCUUCUUUAUCUCAGCUAUUCGUGCUAAGAGGCUCCUUAUGAAAGGAUGUGAAGGAUUUCUUGCCACUAUAUUAGAUACUCAAGAUAAGAAACUCAAGUUAGAGGAUAUCCCUAUUGUGAAAGAAUUUUUUAAUAUUUUUUCAGAUGAUCUAUCUGGAUUACCUCCUGAUCGAGAGAUUGAGUUUUCUAUUGACUUGAUCCCUGGUACGAGUUCAGUUUUUAAAGCCCCUUAUCAAAUGGCUCCAGCAGAAUUGAAGGAGUUACAAAAGCAAUUACAAGAGUUGUUGGACAAAUGAUUCAUUAGACCUAGUGUAUCACUUUGGGGAGCUCCAAUACUUUUUGUGAAGAAGAAAGAUGGUAGCCUUCGACUUUGCAUAGACUAUUGAGAAUUAAAUAAGGUAACAGUACGAAAUAAAUAUUCUUUACCACGAAUCGAUGAUUUGUUCGAUCAGUUGCAAGGGGCACAGGUCUUCUCAAAAAUUGAUCUUCGUUCUGGCUACCAUCAAUUGAAGAUACAGUCUGGAGAUAUAUCAAAAAUAGCCUUUCAGACUAGAUAUGGGCAUUAUGAGUUUUUAGUCAUGCCCUUUGGUUUGACUAAUGCACCGACAGCCUUCAUGAAUCUUAUGAAUCGAGUGUUUGCAUCAUACUUAGAUCGAUUUGUAGUUGUAUUUAUUGAUGAUAUUUUGAUUUACUCAAAAAGCUCACUCGAGCAUGAAGAGCAUCUGAGGAUUGUAUUACAAACUCUGAGGAGAAAGAAGCUGUAUGCAAAGCUACAAAAAUAUGAAUUUUGGCUAAACAGUGUUACUUUCCUCGGGCAUAUCAUCUCCAAGGAUGGUGUUUCAGUUGACCCAAAGAAAGUGGAGGCAGUAGUCGACUGGAGCUGACCUACUAAUGUAUAAGAGGUGCGUAGCUUUUUAAGGUUGGCUGGCUACUAUCGAAGGUUUAUGGAAGGUUUCUCUUGUAUUGCCAUGCCCCUAUCUCAUCUAACACAGAAACAAGUAAAGUUUGAAUAGACAGAUGAAUGUGAGCAAAGCUUUCAAGAGUUAAAAAGAUAAUUAGUGACUGCUCCGAUUUUAACUAUUCCAUCCGAAAUAGAAGGUUUCACUAUCUAUAGCGAUGCUUCUCGUAAAGGUCUCGAUUGUGUUCUGAUGCACAAAGAAAAGGUGAUAGCUUAUGCCUCUCGACAAUUGAAGUCAUAUGAGCGAAAUUAUCCUACUCAUGACUUAGAAUUAGUAGCUGUGGUUUUUGCUUUAAAAAUAUGAAGGUAUUAUUUAUAUGGAGAGCAUUACAAGAUUUUCACGGAUCAUAAAAGUUUAAAAUAUAUUUUUACUCAGAAGGAGUUAAAUUUGAGACAAAGAAGGUAGUUGGAGCUAUUGAAGGACUAUGACUUGACAAUAAAUUAUCAUCCCAGAAAGGCGAAUGUUGUAGCCGAUGCUCUAAGUAGAAAAUCUUUUGUUGAAUUGGAUGCUCUAAUUACCUCACAAAAGCCUAUAUUGCUAGAUUUGGAGAAAUCAGGAAUUGAAAUACGACUACAUGAUCUUCAAGCUCAACUUGCAAAUCUUGUACUACAGCCUACUUUGAUUGAAAGGAUUAAGGUAGCUCAAAAGGAGGAUUCAGAGUUACAAAAGGUCAUAGAAGCAGUGGAAUCCGGUAUACAAAUAGAAUUUUGGAUACAUGAGGAUGGGUUAUUAAGGUUUGAUAACAGACUAUGUGUUCCCAAGGUUUCAGGAUUAAGGGACGAGAUCCUGGAGGAGGCUCAUUAUUUGGCUUACACCAUGCAUCCUGGAAGCGCAAAAAUGUAUCAAGAUUUGAAAAAAAACUUUUGGUGGUCUGGUAUGAAAAGGGAUAUUGCACAAUUUGUAGCCCAAUAUUUGGUAUGUCAACAAGUAAAAGCCAAACAUCAAAGACCAGUAAGACCAUUACAGUCUCUUCUUAUUCCUCAGUGAAAAUAGGAGUAUUAUACUAUAGAUUUUGUGACUGGGUUACCUAAAACACUUCAGAAUAAUAAUGCUGUAUAGGUAAUUAUUGACCGAUUGACGAAAUCAGCAUAUUUCUUAUCCUUUCAAAUUGGUCUUUCCUUAGAAAGAUUGGCAGGCUUGUAUAUAGAGCAGAUAAUACGACUGUAUGGAGUACCAGUUACUAUUGUGUUAGAUCGAGAUAGUAGAUUUGUUUCUCAGUUUUGGAAGAGCCUUCAUAAAGCCCUCGGUACCAAGUUAAAUUUUAGUACAGUUUUUUAUCCUCAAACUGACGGACAAUCAGAACGAACCAUAAAAAUCCUAGAGGAUAUGUUAAGGGCUUGUGUCAUGGACCUGGGCGGUGCAUGGGAUAAUCACUUAUCAUUGGUUGAGUUUGCUUAUAAUAAUAGUUACCAAGCAAGCAUUCAGAUGGCUCUUUUCGAGGUAUUAUAUGGAAGGAAGUGUAGAUCGUCCAUUUGUUGGGAUGAGGUGGGAGAAAGAAAACUGUUGGGACCAGAAAUAGUGCAACAGACGGUGAAAAAAGUACACAUGAUACAGGAACGACUUCGUACAGUUCAGAGCAAAGAGUUAUGCUGAUAAUAAAAGAAGGGAGAUAGAAUUUCAAGUAGGCAAUCAUGUUUUUCUGAGAGUUUCUCCCACUAAAGGUAUCAUGAGAUUUGGAGUUCGUGAUAAGUUGAGUCCAAAGUAUAUUGGCCCUUUUGAAAUUUUAGACAUGAUUGGAGAGGUUGCAUAUCAAUUAGCGUUACUGCUGACUUUAUCUGGNNNNNNNNNNNNNNNNNNNNNNNNNNNNNNNNNNNNNNNNNNNNNNNNNNNNNNNNNNNNNNNNNNNNNNNNNNNNNNNNNNNNNNNNNNNNNNNNNNNNNNNNNNNNNNNNNNNNNNNNNNNNNNNNNNNNNNNNNNNNNNNNNNNNNNNNNNNNNNNNNNNNNNNNNNNNNNNNNNNNNNNNNNNNNNNNNNNNNNNNNNNNNNNNNNNNNNNNNNNNNNNNNNNNNNNNNNNNNNNNNNNNNNNNNAGAGAUUGUAACGGCCCAGGUUCUUGGGCCUGUAAACCCUUGACGGUCCAAUGAAAAAAAAAGAAUGAAAAAUUAACAGAAGGAGGAAGACUCCUAAUCAGAGUCUUCUUCCUCUCCGUUUUCGAUGAAAUCAGACUCGAAGAGUCUAGCUAGGGUAGAAGAUCUUCCCUAUAAAGACCCCUCUUCCCUCCCUUAGGACCUUACAACAAAAUUUCGAAGAAAUAAAAGGGAUAUUUUCAAAAGAGAGAGCCGUGAGCGGUUGAUUAGAAGAGAGGGGCCGCCAGAGCUAUUUUUAGCCGCUGAAACAAUGUAUGUUUCUUCUCCCUUCUUUUCGGAUUGAUCUUUUCAGCCAUCGGUGUGCUUGGAAGCCGGCAAGAUGCCGGUUUGGGCUCAAACAGGGCACCCUUAUUUGUGUUGUUUCUCUCCUUCCAUCGCCGACAGCAAGGACAAGUGGGGCUGCUAUUGGGACGGUAGCCUCGCUGCCGUCGAGGUUGCCGAGGAGGGUGGCCGGAGAUGGCCUACCCUGGCCGUGGGAAAGAGAGGCAUUCGGGAUGGGGGUCGGGUCUCCUGCUUUGAUCGUGGGAAAGAGGAGAAGAAAUCUCUUCUCUCUUCUUAAAAUAAAAUUAAAAAUAAUAAUAAUAAUAAUUAAAAAAAAUUAAGACACAGGUAAGGGUUCCGAUAAACCUUAAUAUAUGAUUUUUUUUAAAAAUUUAAUUUGGUUAAAUUGAUUUAUUUGAUAGGAGAAUAGUCUAACGAAUAGGAGGACAACGAGUAGGGUUUUGAUAUUCAGACUGUAAGGCUGUGAGUUUGAUUUCUCAUUGAUCGAGGUAAGAAUUCUGUACAUGAUUAUCACCAUAUAUGUUAUUUGUUCAUUAGUUUUAUGAUGUUGAUUUUGUAUUACUGGAUUUAUGAUCGAUGAGUUUUCUAUGCUUGAGACAUCGAUAUAUGGCUUAUAUGAUUCUUUUUAAAUAUAAGCAUGUUAUGAAAAGAUUUCUAUGAUUGAUGGUAUGAGUCUAAUGAAUAUGACUUAUCAAUUUGAUCAUCCUGUAAUUUAAAAUUAAUUCGAUGAAAUCAAUAAUUAAAUAAAAAAGAUAUGGUUUGGACUAGCCUCGACAUAUGGAUCAGCCGGCCAAGAGCUCAUGCCUGGGACAGUCCGCAGGAGCUUAUGCCUGGGACAGCCCCCACUGACUUAUAGGUGGAUCAGCCGGUUAGGAGCUCAUGUCUGGGACAGCCCGCCAGGAGCUUAUGCCUGGGACAGCCUCUCACGGACUUUCGUACGUGGGACAGCCGGCCAGGAGCUCAUCCUGGGAUAGCCUUGAAAGGCUUAUAUGAAAAGAAAAAUUGGAUUGGAAAGAGAUUGAGGUAUGGUCUCGAUUAGUCUAAAGCCAAAAGGGAUAAAAGAUUGUCAAACCGAAGAUGUGAAAAGAUGAAACAUAUAACAUGUAAUUCAAGAAUGAAUGAAAACUUCACUUGGUGAUAUGUGAUGAUCCAUAUUUAUUAAAUGCAUGUUCAUGUCAAUAUUCGAGUUAUUAUAUAUGUAUCAGUCUUCACAAAAUUGUAUUAGUUUUAAAAAUAUUAAUUUUAUCUAAUGGCUUGAUGUACAUGUGCAGUGAUUCUUACUGAGUUGGAGAUGCUUAUAUUUGCUUCUUAUUUUUUUUUCAGACUCACAAGAUGCUUAGUCUGGAAGGUUUGGACGAGAGCAAAUAAGAACUGAAGCCUUUAGUAAUUCAGUUAGUUUAAAUUCUCUGAUACCAAUGAACAUUUGAAUAAUUGUGUUGAGCAAAGUUUAUUUUUGAUUUGAAGUUGUGACUCGGUUGAUUUAUUUGGUAUUUACUUGAUGAUUUAAAAUUUUGAAGUAUUAAUUAUUUAGGCCUUACAUAAUCCUUAGGGCGCUGCUUUAGGGUUUGUGUGACCGUGUCACGUGGUCAACUCAGGUGCUGGAUUUGAGGCGUGAUAGUUACCAACUUGAAGGUGAGUAGUUUUAUAUACUCAUAAAUUCCUCCAUUUUGCAUUCUACGAUUAACGCUUGAAGAUCUUCUUCCUCAAAUAUUUUAACUAUAUAAAUUUUUGAUUAUUUAUUUGAAAUAAUAGUAGUGCUAACUACAUCAUCAUUCUUGAAAAUUAAAAAAAGUUAAAUGGAUGAAUAAAAUAAUUAUCUUCACUUUUACAUCCCCAUGUGAGGUGCUAUUCCAAUAUAUUCUCACUGGACGUUAAUACAGAUACGUGCGACGAUUUGAGUUUUGGGGCCGCUAGGAUCGUGAAAAGGGAUAUUAUACUGUUGGUAUCUAGAUUGUGAAGAAUCUUAAAAUUUUUUUUGGUUUGGCUUCUUUUCUUUUGAUCAAGCUUUUGCGCAACUAUAGCUUUUGAGAAUCUUAAUAUUUUUGGGCUCUUCAUAAUAUGAUUUUCAUUUUUUUUUAAAAUGAGACGUUUUAAUAAGAAACCUAGAAAUUAUAUGCUAUCUGAACAUAUCUGUGAUAUGACAAGAUGUUAAUUGCAGCUUUGAUAUUUAUACUUAUUUACCUCUUAUUUUAUUAAGGAAGUUCUUGACAAAAGCAUUUAAAUAUUAUCACUUCUCAUAAUAAAAAAGACGAAGAUUAUAAAACGCGGUAUCUCAAAAUAAAUGGAUCAACUAAUAGUCUAAAAAUAUGGACAGGAUGUGAUAAUUUAGUGUUUCGGUUUAUGUUUUGUCUAGUUUUCCUUCUCAAGUUUUCGUAGUUUACAAUAUUGAACGUCACAUUGUUGAUAAGCAUACGAAUGAUAUCCAAAACAAAAUGGAGUUGGAAACGUAAGAAAAAGUUCAUCCACACGGCCAUGAUUCAUUGUUGCUGGCCAGAGGUUCCCAGUUCCCAUCAUGUCCUCAUUUCCAAGCAAAAUUCUUUGUACACCAUUUGCAGUAUAGAAAAUCUGAUGUAAAGUGCACCACCUCAUUCGAUUAGACCACAUUGUUACUGCUUUCCAAUGCACACUUAAUAUCCGCAAUUCUACUUUUUUGUUUGAAAUUUUGAAUAACAAAAAUGUCUCUUUCCUUCUAAAAAAAUUAUGACAUCCUGUGUCGAUAUUAUAACAUUUUACAUAAAAAUUAUAACUUUUUGCAUAUAAUGUCAUAAUUUUUCACAGCAUGUCAUAAUUUUGAUAUGGAUAUUUUUAUCAUUGAAAAUUUUUAAAAAUUUAUAUAAAAUUUUCAAUGACGAAAAUGAUUUUCUCCCUUUAUGAUAUCUUGUGAAAAAAUUAUGACAUUCUGUAAGGAAGUCAUAAUUUCAAUGUAGGAUAUCAUAAUAUCGGCACAGAAUAUCAUAAUUUUUUCAAAAAAAAUAUUUUUAUCAGUCAAAAUUUUAAAUAAAAAAAUAAAAUUAUAAAUAUUAAAUAUGUAUUGGAAAGUGGUGGCUAUGUAGUUUGAUCGGAUAAAAUGGUGUACUCCACGUCAGAUUUUCUAUACCAUGGGCGGUGUACAAAGAAAUUCUCCAUUCAAAAAAUCAGGGCAACGAGUGCAACUUUUGGUAUUUGUCAGUACUCUGGUCACUUUAAUGCUGCUAUUUUCUUAUUACGUAGUUAUAAUAGCAUGUGAUUUUUUUUUUUAUAUUUAUCGAUAGGCGAAAUUCUUUAUGCACUGCCUACAGUGUAGAAAAUUUGAUGUAGAGUGUACCGCUUUAUUCUAUUAGACUAUAUGGUCGCUGCUUUUCAAUGCGUAUUUAAUGUCCGUAGUUUUACUUUUUCGUUUGAAAUUUGGAAUGACGAAAAUACCCCUUUCCUUUCGAAAAAAUCAAAACAUCUUGUGCUGAUAUUAUGACAUCCUGCGUUGAAAUUAUGAUCUUCUGUACAGAAUAUCAUAAUUUUUUUACAGGAUGUCAUAAAAGAAGAAUAUUUUUGUUAUUAAAAAAUUAAAUUAUGAUUUUCUACACAGGAUGUCAUAAUUUUUUCACAGGAUGUCAUAAAGAGAGAAAGGUAUUUUCGUCAUUAAAAUUUUUUUUCAAUUUUUCAAUGAUGAAAAUAUCCUUCUCUCUUUAUGAUAUCUCAUGAGAAAAUUAUGACAUCCUAUGCAGAAAAUUAUAAUUUCAAUACAGUAUGUCAUAAUAUCAGCACAGGAUGUCAUAAUUUUUUUGAAAGAAAAAAAAUAUUUUCAUCAUUCAAAAUUUUAAAUAAAAAAAUAUAAAUAUAAAUAUUAAAUAUAUAUUAAGAAAUGAUGAUUACAUGAUCCAAUAAGAUGAAAUAGUGUAUUUUACGUUAGAUUUUCUACACGGGCGAUGCAAAAAGAAUUUCUCUUUCCGAUCGCUUUCAUUUUAAAGGCCAGAAAAUACACUAGAGUUGGAAUACUCUUACAAACCCACACCUGAGCUAGACCCAUACAGAUAAAUCUGUAACUGCAAGACUGUGCUAUACAUAUCAUAAGUCUUAUUGGACUCACAAGUUUGUACUUGUACAUUAACUUGCAUACUACAUAAAGAUCAUUAAUAGACGAAAAAAGCAUUCCAAGUAUAAUAAUUACCUAAAUGGAUUGACUAGGAAAAUUUAUUUAAACUCAUAAGAAAUGUUACACUUGCUUCUCGAAACAUCUCUGAUUAAUGGCUAUCAUCUCAAUGAUAGGUAUCAAGAGUUUGACUUAUUAUUAUUAUUAUUAUUAUUAUUAUUAUUAUUAUUAUUAUUAUUAUUAUUGUUAUUGUUGUUGUUGUUGUUGUUGUUGUUGUUGCUGUUUAAAAUUAUUUAAAUAAUAGAUUUGCUUCACAUCAAAAAGUUUAGCUUUAAGGCAGUGAUGGCAUUUUGAGUUCUAGAACAACUUCUAUGCCACCAACUUUUUGUUAGAAAAUACGUCUCAAGAUUCGUUCCACACUGAGCCCAUAGCGAGGUCCAGAACGACGAACAAAGUCCAACGAGUUCAAGAACAGUCCAAAUGGAGUCCAGACGGCGAAAAUACGCACGAAAGAAGCUCGAAACAGCGGCACAGAUCAUGAGGUGUCGGAGGCUGGCGGUGGCACAGGCGGGCCCGACGGACACGCAUGCGCACGAGUGUGUGGCCCAGCACAGGCACGCACUGAAACACGCACGGCCGACCCAACGGGCGCGUGGGCGCCCAGGCCCAGCACCCUGUGCAGUCCACCGUGGAUUGCAGGGUGCUGGGUGGUCCAUGGCCGUGGUGGAUCACGUGGUCCACGCAUGAUCCAUGGAUAAAUUUAUACGAUCCAAUGGCUCUGGAGCAAACCAUUCAUGAUCGGAUGGCUAAAGAUAACUCCGGACGUGAUUAGGCUUGAUCUGAGGCUGUAGUGUGCGAUCAGACGGUUCUGGUGUGAGCCGAUCACGAUCGGACGGUCACGGAUGAUUAUAGGAUUGAUUGGGACUUAGUAUUCCUAGUAUGAUAGUAUUUUUGAGAUUCUGGAGCCUAUAUAGCUCCGAUUGACGAGUCAUUUAUCGCGUUGGAUAGCUGAUGACGUUUUGAAGGUGCAGAAAGACUUCAAGAGAGGUUUCAGAGAGAUUUUAUGAGGAUUUUGAGACUUCUUGUUGAAAGACUCUUGUACAAAGGUUGAGUGAUAAAUUGCUCUUGUAUUGAUUGUGUUUUAUCCUCUCACUGUGAAGCUUGCAUGCCCUAUAAAGAUAGACUUGAGAGUGAUCGAUGUAUUUAGAUUAUUUUUUUUUCUUACUAUACCGCAUGGUAGCGGAUCCUGCAUAAUACUUUUUUUUUUAAUUUUUUCCUGAGGAAAGGCAUUCGGCAAGCCCAAGCUACCAAUAUUUUUAAAUUAUUCCAAAACCGCAUGAAUCGGAUAAGAUGGAAUCACCACCCAUCACCUGACAAGAAUCGGGUGAGUUGGGGCGCAUGGCAUGCAUUAUUGCCGACGUGGACCUCACUGGCCCCCAUAUAUUGAUGCCAGGUAUCCACUGCUUAAUUGCUUCAUCGCUGCAGAAUGCUUACAGUAGUUCAUUCAUCGCUGCAGUUAGCCCGUCUUGGGCCUAUAAAUAGCCUUAACAUAUAUUGCCGGUCUUCAGUCCCAUAGCCAUCAAAUCCCUCAUCUCCUUGUAGUGAAUUUUAGUAAUUCUCAAACCACCAUGGUACAUCACAGCUCCAUUUUUUUUAAUCCUGAUUCCAGCCAUCCGCCGGCUGUUCCAAUGACUGACCAAGAGUUCAAGCACGGGGUCCGGCGUGUCGACCUCAAUGGGGAUGGUCGCAUCAGUGCGCAAGAGCUGAAACAAGCACUCCAUGAUCUUGGAAUAAAUAGGGCGACACUGAAGGUGUGGUUGGCUGUGUUCAGGAACGACCUCAACCACAACCAUUGCAUCGAUGGUGAAUUGGAGAUUAAGAAGUUGAGAGAUGUUGCGGUCAAUCUCCUACCACCUAUCAUCAGUGAAGAGCACUUGCAAGAUAAAAUCCUCAUAGGCUGGAGUUGUAUCCGACGGGGAUCUUCCGAUGCUUAAGUCAGAGAGGAGACUGGUGAACAGCAGAUAAAGAUUGUUUAGACUGACAAAGUAUUAGCCCAGAAUUUUCUUUACCCGUGCUGCUCGUUUAUGUCUCCUUUUAUACAUGAUUCUGAUGUAACCGUCGAGUACGUGAUCAUGCUUUUUAUGGUGCUGAAUUAUCAAGCCAUAAUCGUGGAGUUAAUGGGUUGUUUAUGCCUACUAAUGACCGUGACACAUAGUCGAUAAUCAUUUAAAACGAUUAGGUGUGUUAUGAAAAUAAGCCGACUAUAUGUCGGUAAUAGUGAUAAGUCGCUAAUCUUGGAGAUCCGAAUGAGCAUCGAUCGGUAACUCUGAUUCUGAUAUACCGAUAGUCUUCGGUUGGAGAUUAACUAAGUUCUGUUGUUGGUUAAUAAUAGCCGACUGUCGGUCGGUCAGUCGAUUGUGAGUCGACGUAAUGUGUUCAUGCGGCUGAUAUAGAGUCGGAGUCGGGGAUCGGUUGACUUGUCCCAGCCCCCCACUCCCAAGUCCAAGGUAGUCCGACGUGUAUAUUAUCACAUGAUCUGUCACGUUGGACGAAGGGAGUCGUCAUGUGUUGCCUCGAGCUCCGACUUGGCUGCUAAUCUUUAUGAUUUUUUUGGAGUACGAGAAAUCUUCAGUUGUUUUGUCAUUUCGGUAGUUGCGAAAUCAUUAUUGGGCUGUUAUUUCGAUGGGAUAAUUCGGCAUCGGAUGUCGUUUCAGGAAGAUAAUUCAGCGUCAGACGAUAUAAUUCUGACUAGUUGAUCUUGAUCACGUGUCCGAACAUCAUUAGGUCAGAGCUGUUCAUGCAGAUAAUGGUGAGGUGGCACAAUCAAGAGCAGGUGCGUCGAACCGUCCGAUCAAUGGUCGGUCCGGAUGUUGCCACGCAUCGUCAUUUGAUGAGAUUUAGAUUUGACUAAUUUCAUCUAGACCAUUGAAGGAUCCUAUAUAUAUAGGAUCGCUUUCGGCCAAACUUUUACUUUGCAUUUUUAUCAUCAUCCUCUGCUGCGGAAGUUCUGUCGGAAGAUCGCCCCAGUACCGGAGAGCUCCAGGCUUCUCUUCUCCGCCCCCUUUUUAGCUUUCAGAUCAAGUGUUCUUGUCCUUUUUGGAUCUGUCUCCUUUUUAAGUUUUCGUUUUAGGAUUUUUUCUAGUUUCCUUUGUUCAUGGCAAGGGCUUCUUCUUCUUGAGAUAAUCGGGAAAUCUGACCGACGAAUCUCCAUCAGAUCCAAAAGUGGAAGCUUCUUCUCUAUCCGAACUUAAUGUUGAAUGGCUCUGAGAGCAAUAUCGUAUCCCGAAGCAGUAUCAACUCUUCGCUCUUGACUCCGAUGGUCGGGUGAACUCCCCUCCUCCGGAUCAUGUUACCUUCUAUGUCGAAGACAUUCGGAUCGGCCUACGAUUUUCGAUUCUGAAGUUUGUCCGAAAUUUUUUUGAUUACUACGGUCUUUGCCCUGCUCAAUUAGCACCGAACUCUGUUCGGCUGAUAAUUAGUUUUGCUUUACUGUGUCGGCUAAUACCGACUGAGCCUCGUCCUUCUCUUUUUCAUACUUUGUUAAUUCUUUGAUCUCAUCCUAAGGCCAAAGGUUGGUGGUUUUUCAACCCGAGAAAAGAUUUUUCUUUCAUCAUCGAUCUUCCAUCGUCCAUUCAUGGAUGGAAGAACCAAUUCUUUUUUGUUUCUUCUUCUCCUUCCUGGGGCUUUUCUUCAUGCUGGGGUGAUCCAAGGACCGACCCCAACGAGAAUAGUCGGACGGAGGUCGACGAUUGGGAAGAUUUUCAUCGACUGAAGAAUAUGACAGUUUCACCGCAGAGAGAGCUGAUGACCAAACAAGCUCUUUACGAUGUCGGCCUUAGUUCGAUCACCUCCUUAGAUAUAGCAUAGUUGAUCACUUUCAUUUUUUGUUUGUUUGCUUCUGAACUAUACUGAUUUCUUCGUUCUGAUUGCAGCUAUGCAGUCGAAGACACGAGUAUCGAUCGUUGAUAUUCGUCAGCAUGCUGCCAAAAAGAAGGCAGCAUCUGAAGCUGGACCCUCCCGACCGUCAAAGAAAAGUCAGGUAGUUCCUCCAUCUGCACCGGUGAGAAAAUCCGACACACCAUUGGCAUCGGUUCUUGAGCCAAUUUUGGCAUUAUCCAUUGAAGAUGGGACGGCAGAAGAAGACAAAGCUACAGCAGUACCAUCAGCGGCUCCACCAAUAAAAGUUCGGACCGUGGUAGAAGUCAUGAUGUUGUUGGAACGAUCAACAGCUGCGUCGGUCGUUCCUCUAGCGAAAUCCUCUCGGGCGCAGUCGAGCUCUGAUUUUUCGACAUUCUCAAGUGCGGGGCUGCCGAUAGGAGAUUGGGAGAAGGCAUCGACGACUUCGAUAGAUGAUGGUUCGUCGGCAAGCCACUCGAUUCUUUUUGACAUCCGAGUUUCUGAGGGUGAGUCGGCCUUGGCCAAUUCGAUAUUGGCCAAGCGGCUCAUCCAAGCCACUCUUCUCCCGACUGAUCGGGAGAACAGAAAGAAUCGAACUGUAGCCGAGAUGUUCUCUUCUUUUUAUCCAAUGAUACUCGGAGUAACUUCUUCAACAUAUAUAUAUAUAUAUAUAUAUAUAUAUAUAUAUAUAUAUAUAUUAUUAUUUAUUCUNNNNNNNNNNNNNNNNNNNNNNNNNNNNNNNNNNNNNNNNNNNNNNNNNNNNNNNNNNNNNNNNNNNNNNNNNNNNNNNNNNNNNNNNNNNNNNNNNNNNNNNNNNNNNNNNNNNNNNNNNNNNNNNNNNNNNNNNNNNNNNNNNNNNNNUAUAUAUAUAUAUAUAUAUAUAUAUAUAUAUAUAUAUAUAUAUAUGUAUAUUUUUUAUCUGAUCUGACUUGGUUCAUCUUCUGCUUUUAGUGGGCUCAUGACAUACAUGACCUGGAGGUCAGCUAUCAGAAGAUUGCUGACUUCCAUCGACAUGGAUGGAUAAAGUGGUGGCCGCCAAUACUGAGAAGACGGCUGCCCUUGAACAACUUCAAGCGGUGAUUGAGCGAGAGGCAAAGCUUCAGGAAGAAGUCUCCUGCUUAACCGCUGUUCUCCAAUCUUUUGGAGCCAAACUUGAGUCGGCUCGUCAAAAUAUUUCAUCUCUUGAGCUGCAGACCAAGAGCAAGAAGCAUUCAUAUUGGCAUAGUAUUCCACUUAAUUAGAACCAAGUCAGCAUAAUAGUUGUUCGACUAGAGUCAGCUUUUACAGUGAAAAGUUGAGAUAUAGUUGGUAUCGAGAUACAGUCGAUAUUUUGGCUUUUACAGUGAAAGUUGAAAUAUAAUCGAUGUAUCGACUUCUACAGUGAAAAAUCAAAAUAUAGUCGAUAGGAGCUGACCAUCCAUCUAUCGAUUUAAAAUCACUUUGUAGUUGGUCGAAACUUUUAUGAUUUUGAAAUUCAAUAUUUCAUUCUAAAUACUGUACAUAUAAAUAACUUUAUUGAUAAUACAUUUUUAAGUUGUCAGCAUUCUACAUUCGAGGAAUAGCUGCUCCCUCAAGAGUUUUCACCCGAUAUACAUCCGGUCUAAAUAUUUUGGUUAUUCUGUAAGGUUCUUUCCAAUUCGGAGAUAAUUUUUUUUUGAUCUAAAGAUUUUAAAACUUCCACUUUCCUUAAGACCAGAUCUCCUGAACGAAAGAUCUUUGGCUUAACUUUUGCAUUAUAAUAUCGGGCUACUCUUUAUCGAUAUGCUACCAUCCGAACUUGAGCUUGCUGUCGGACUUCUGAAAGUAAGUCAAGAUCAGCUCUCUGACAUUCUGAAUUGCUUGGCUCAUUGUAUUAUUCCACCCUUGCCGAUGGUAAUCCGAUCUCAAGUGGGAUCAUCGCUUCUGUUCCAUAAGCCAAAUUGAAUGAUGAUUCUCUCAUUGGUAUACGUGGAGUUAUUCGAUAAGUCCACAAGAUCGGAUAUAAUUCCUCCACCCAAAGGUCUUUAGCUUCAUUCAGUCUGGUCUUGAGUCCAUACAGAAUUGUUCGAUUUGUUACCUCCACCUCUUCGUUGGAUUAUGGAUGACCGACUGAUGUGAGUUUGUACAUAAUGUAAAAUUUCGUACAGAACUCUUUGAAGUUUUGAUUAUCGAAUUACCGAUCAUUAUUAGUGAUGAUGGUGUGUGGUAGAUCAAAUUUGCAUAUGAUUGAUUUCUGAAUGAAGUCUUCCAUCUUACUCUCAGUGAUUUAUGCCAGAGGUUUAGCUUCUACCCAUUUGAUGAAGUAAUCAAUGGCGACCACUGUAAACUUUCUCUGACCAGAUGCCGAAGGAAAAGGACCAAGUAUGUUAAUUUUUUAUUGUGUGAAGGGUCAUGGUGCAACAAUUGAUGUCAACUGACUGGUCGGUUGGUGUUGUAUACUUGCAUAUUUCUAACUGGUUCACACCUUCAGAUGAGCUCAGCUGCAUCUUUCUUCAUGGUGGGCCUAUAAUAUCCUUGUCGAAGGACUUUGUAAUCUAGAGAUUUGCCCCCCAAGUGAUUUUCAUAAAUUUCUUCAUGAACUUCUCUGAGUGCAUAGUCGGCAUCUGUCGGUCCCAAACACUUCAGUAAGAAAAAAGAGAACGACCUCUUGUGUAAUUGACCAUUCAUCAAAAUAUAUUGUGAAGCUGUCUAUCUGAGUCGUUUGGCUUCUGAGAGAUCCGUAGAGAGAGUUCCAUCUGUCAAGUAUUGGACAAUCGGAUCCAUCCAGCUUGGUUCAUCAGUGAUUUAUAGCACUUCCUUGACUUUAUCAAUACUCGACUGUUCAAGGCAUUCGACGAAUGUCCGACCCAACAAGUUGAAAGAAGUGGUUGCAAGUCACGAAAAUACAUUGGCACGAGCAUUUUCUAUCCUUGGGAUGUGAAAGAUCUCAAAAUAGUUUAAGAUUGAUGUAAGAUCCUUCACUUUCUGAAGAUACUUCAUCAUAAUGGGGUCUCAAGCUUCAAACUCGCUCUUAACCUGUUCAGCAAUCAAUUGUGAGUCAGUGAAAACCUUCAGGCUAUCGAUAUCAAGCUCCUUGAUAAUUUUUAAGCCGGUUAAGAGUGCUUCAUAUGCAGUUUGGUUAUUCAAAGCUUUAAAAUUGAAUCGAAAGGCAUAUUCAGUAAUAACUCUUUCAAAAUUGAUGAGGAUGAGACCGGCUUUAUUGUCCUGUGCAUUAGAUGCUCCAUCAAUAUACAGCACCCAUGCCAAUGUUAAGUUAGGUUCGGGAGCCACGGCUUGCUUUAUUUUAUCGUUGGCUUCAUCCUCGGGUUUAUUAUCAGGUAUUGUACACUCGACAAUGAAGUCGGCCAAAACUUACGUCUUCAUUGAUGGAUGUGGAUGAUAUUGUAAAUCAAAUUCGUCAAGCUUUAUUAUCCACUUUGCCAUUCAACCCGACGUACCAAGUUGGUGUAAUAUUACCUUCAACGGCUGAUCUAUCGAGAUGACACUAGAGUGUGCUUGGAAAUAUGGGUGAAGUCGUUAUGAUGAUAUGAUUAAAGCGUAGAUCAUUUUCUCCACUCUUGAAUAUCUUACUUAGACAUUAUGAAGUACCUUGCUAGUGUAAUAGAUUGAUUGUUGAAUUUGAUUUUUAUCUUCCUAGAUAAGUACCGAACUAACCGCCUCUAUCGAUGUUGCUAAGUAGAGGUACAAAAUUUCUUCGACCUUUGGUUUUGCAAGCAGCAGUGGAGAUGUUAAAUAUCUUUUUAGAUCUUUAAAGGAUUGUCGAUACUCGUCUAACCAUAUGAAGUCAUUUGAUUGCCUCAAGGUCUUGAAAAAAGGCAACCAUCUUUUUGCCGACCUUGAUAUGAAUCGACUAAAUGCGGUGAUUCUUCUGUUGAGCUGUUGUAUCUCUUUCUUGAAGCUAGGAUGCUUCAUAUUGAUGGUAGCCUUUAUUUUCUCAGGAUUGGCCUCGAUUCCUCAUUGUGAUAUAAGAAAUCUGAGAAACUUCUUAGAAGUUACUCCGAUCGUACACUUUGUCGGGUUCAACUUCAUCUGAUGUCGUCGAAGUGUACUGAAGACUUCUUUCAGAUCCUGAAUAUGAUCAGUAGUUUGAGAAUUUUUCACCAGCAUAUCAUCCACAUAUACUUUCAUACUUUGCCCGAUCUAUGUCUUGAAGAUUUUAUUGACUAACCGUUGAUAUGUGGCUCCAGUAUUUUUUAAACCGAAAGGUAUUACUUUAUAGCAGUAGAUGCCUUUGUCGGUUACGAAGGCUGUGUGCUCCUUAUCUUCGGAUGCCAUCUGAAUCUGAUUGUAGCCUGCAAAGACAUCCAUGAAGCUUAAGAGUCGGUGCUCCGAAGUUGCAUCAACUAGUUGAUCAAUCUUCAGCAAAAAAAAAUUAUCCUUCAAACAAGCUUCAUUUAGAUUUAUGUAGUCGAUACAGAUUCUCUAUUUUUUAUUGGCCUUUCUCACCAUCACUACAUUGGUGAGCCAAUUGGGAUAAGUAGCUUCUCUGAUGAAGCCAACUGCGAGGAGCUUGUCGACUUCUUCAUCGAUGACCUUCUGCCUUUCAGGAGCAAAAAGCCAUUUCUUUUAUCUCACUGGCUUAACCUUUGGAUCAAUAUUUAGCCGAUGGAUUAUUACUUCCGGAGGAAUGUCUGGCAUAUCAGUAGCCGAUCAAGCAAAAAUAUUGAUGUAUGAUCUGAGUAAGUUUAUUAGCUGCUGCCAUUCUAGAUCAGGCACCUGCGAUGCAAUUUGGACCAUCUUCUCAGGAUCCUCUUCUUUUAGUGGGAUGGAAACCAGUUGUUCGGCUAGUUCAUCCCUUUCUUUAUUCUCUCUUUAGUCUAAUUUAUCGACAGACAAAGAGUCUUCAGAUUAAUUAUUUUGUGUGAAAUCUAAAAAGCAACGUCGGAUAAGUUGUUGAUCUCCACACAUCUCUCUAACUCUAUUUUUUAUCAAAAAUUGAACUAGUAAAUGAUAAGUCGAGACUACUGCCCUCAAAGCAUUCAAUCCAGGUCAUUCGAAUAUGGCAUUAUAAGUCGAAGGAACUCGAAUAACCAUGAAUGUCACGAGAAUAGAAUUCUAUUAUGGUUUAGUUCCUACGAUUAAUGGGAGAGUGAUUUCUUCCUCUACAGUGACUGCAUCUCCUGUAAAACCAAUCAAUGACAUCGAGACUCUUCUAAGUCGAUCAGUCGGUAGUCGUAUUCAAGAAAAAGUCGAGUAAAAUAAAAUAUCCAUCAAGCUUUCAUUAUCUACUAAAUUUUUUUUUACAUCAUAAUUAGCUAUCAUUGCCGAAACAACGACAACAUCAUCAUGAAGAGUUUGUAUUCUCCGAACAUCAUCUUUCGAAAAGGUAAUUACAUUGUCGAGUCAUCAUUUCUUUAUCGACUCUUUUUCGGAAGUUGCCUCCCAGUUUUUCUGUCGCUUGGAGAUCAUGUUAAUUACUCUCGUCGUUGGUCGAUUAUUGAGUGUCUCCUCAGCUUGUGACUGAGGUUGUUGGUCGGUAGGAGGUUGAGUCGGAUGAUCACGUUAGAAUUUUUUGAGAUAGCCUCAUCGAAUCAAGACCUCUAUCUCGUCUCUGAGUUGGAUGCACUGUUCGAUAUCAUGACCGUGAUCACGAUGGAACCGACAGUACUUCUUUCUGUCUUAGCUCCUCGAUGGUGCUUUCAUUGGUGGGGGGUGUUGUAAGUACUCCUUUUCUUCGAUCUCCAUUAAGAUCUACGUACGGAGAGCAAAAAAAAGAGUGUAGGAGUCAUACCUGCCAUAACUAUUCGGUUUCGGACUCCGUCGUCAAGGUGAAGCUCUUUUAUUGAUAGUCAGCCUACUUGAUUCGAUCGGAGCUUCAUUUUUCUUUUGUUUCUUCUUCUGACCUUUUUCGUCUAUCUGGCAUUAGUCAGAAGUAGCUUCAUCUACGUGAAUGUACUUGUAUGCACACUCUAGAAGUCAGCAUAGGUCCAAAAGAGAGUUUUAUCUAGAGAGUAGGUGAAUCUCGAUCCCCUCAGACCCUUCUUCAUGGCCAAUAUACUCAUGUCUUCAUGGAGAUCCCUGACCUCAAGUGUGGCUGCAUUGAAGCGAGCCACAAAGUCUCUCAAUAUCUCUGUCUCACCUAGCUUGAUUGAGAAGAGACUGUCGGAUAUCUAUGGCGAUCUUCGGCUAGUGCUGAAGUGGGCCACGAAAGAAUGCUCAAGCUACUCGAAAGAGUUAAUGCUCUUCGACUGAAGCCUGAAAUACCAGGCUCGAGCAACCUUCCGAAGAGUUGCCGGGAAGCCAAUGCAUAAGAGUGUAUUGGUUGUCCCUUGGAUCAUCGUGAGAGCCUUAUAGCUUUCCAAGUGGUCGAUUGGAUCGAUGGAACUGUCGUAUGACUCCAUCUGUGGCAUCUUGAAUCGAGAGAGAAUUGGUUCAUCCAAGAUGUGUCGAGAGAGAGACUGGGCAGUGUGGAAGUUAGUCAUUGGAGGACUUCUGACCUUCCAUCUGAAGUCGGACGAGCUGAUAAUCAAUUUCUCGAAACUUGUGAUCAUAAUCGUCAAGCCGUCAUUGCUGAAAAACUCUAAGGGUGGAAACCCCUGAAGAGCUCGAAGAAGGAGAAGCAGAAGGCGUCCGUGGUCAUUUUCCCAUCCUGAUACUGUAUAUAUGGGAAGGAGAGCGAGAACACCGUGAAUGAUGGGUGGCACAAUAAGAGUGUGGAGAAUACGGUUGUCCGUCUCGGUGAGUGUCGAGACGGUCGCUCUGAAGAUGAGGAGGGUGAGCACCACGUGACGGUGGUUGUGCCUAGAUGGCAAUGACUGAGCCAUCGGUUGCUCCACUGGCAACUGCUGCUGCUGCUGAAUUUGCUGCUGCUGGAGGCUUUGAACCAUCUCUGUCAAAACCUUCAUUUACUGUAUAAAUGCAGUAAUCUGUGCAUCCGUGGUGACCACAGAACGCAAGAAACUGGGCUCUGCCACCGGAGGUGGGAGAGCGACAUCUUAUCGAUGGAAAGACAACCUCGUCGAUCCAGUCGAGUGUUGAGCUCUGAUUUUUGGCAUGGUUAACUGUAGUCUCCCCCUAUCUGGCGCGCCAAUCUGUUGCAGUCAAUCUCCUGUCACCUGUCGUCAGUGAAGAGCACUUACAAGCUAAAGUUCUCAUAAAUCAGAGUUGUGUCCAGUGGGGACCCUCUGAUGCUUAAGUCAGAGAAGAGAUUGAUGAACAGCAGAUAAAGAUUAUUUAGAAUGACAGAGUAUUAGCCCAGAAUUAUCCUUACCUGUGCUGCUCAUUUACCUCUCCUUUUAUAGACAAUUCUGAUAUAACCAUCAAGCACAUGGUCUCGCUUUUUAUGAUGCUAAAUUAUUGGACCACAAUCAUAGAGUUAAUGGAUUGUUUAUACCCACUAAUGAUCGUGACACAUAGUCAAUAACUAUUUAUAAUGGUUAGGUGUGUUGUGAAGAUAGGCCGACUAUAUAUCGGUAAUAGUGACAAGUCGGUAGUCUUAGAGAUCCGAAUGAGUAUCAGUCGGUAACUUUGACUCUGAUAUGCCGAUGAUCUUCGGUUGGAGAUGAACUGAGUUCUGUUGUUGGCUGAUAAUAGCCGACUAUCGGUCGGUUAGCCGAUUGUGAGUUAGCGUAAUAUGUUCAUGCGGUUGAUGUAGACUCGGAGUCGGGAAUCGAUUGACUUGUCCCAACAAGAGAGUAUGCAGCCAAGCACUGGGGUAUCGUCAUCAGGCACGUCAUGCAUGUGCCAUUAAUUAAUCAAGUCUACCUUGUUUAUGUCUUUUGGUUCUCUAUAUUAUGUCCUCCUAUAAUAAUAGCUAGAAUUGCAUGUUUGAUAUAUAUAUACAUACACACACACACACACACACACAUAUAUAUAUAUAUAUGUGUGUGUGUGUGUGACACCCCAAACCAGAUCCAAUUAUCGCACAGAUCUCAAAGCAUAAGCCCAAAAAAAAGAAAUACAUGGAAGAACUCCCAAAGGAGUUCUUUUCUGAUUCGAACUCCUAAAAUCCUUAGGAUUAGAGAUUAAAUCCAGCCCUAAUUCCUCCCUGUUUGAGGUCNNNNNNNNNNNNNNNNNNNNGGAGUUCUUUUCUGAUUCGAACUCCUAAAAUCCUUAGGAUUAGAGAUUAAAUCCAGCCCUAAUUCCUCCCUGUUUGAGGUCUAUUUAAGGGCCUCAAUCUCAUCAGUUUUUUCUCACAAAAAAUCAUCGAUUAAAUCACUGAUGUUUUUUCCUCCUCUCAUCCUAUUUAUCGAUGGAUAAUCUUCUUGUAGCCGUCGGAAAUCAAGUCAAACCCCAUCCAAAUCAGAUAAAAUCUCUUCCAUCUUAUUCCUUCAAUCUUUUAGAGGUUUUUAUCUUAGAUUUUAUUGAGUUUUCUUGCUGAAAAAUCCCUUCAAAAAUCAUUACUUUUUGAGUUCCUUGUUUUCUAUUUUGUUUUGAUUUUUCUGGCUGCUGGUUGCCGUCGUCGGUCACCGGACCCGACAGCUCGGUGUCGUCGAGGUUUGCCCCAUCGACCUGAGUGGUGGUCGGUCUGGGGAGAGGGCCUCCUCAUUGGGAACGAAGGGGAGCUCCCCUAUUCCGUGAAGAAAAGAAAAAGAAAGAAGAAGACCGCGUGGGUCCUCUAUUCAAAAAAAAAGAUAAAAAAAGAUAAAUAACUAAAAAAAUUAUGAGAGAGAGUUUCUCUCUCUUCUCUCUCUCCCUUCAGUCUGAACCCAUACUUUUUUCUCUAGAAUAUUGGACUUUCUCUUUAGAAUUUUUUCUCUCUAGAUUGUUUCUCUCUCUUCAUGAAUUUUUUUCUCUCAAGUUAUCUUUCUAAGAUUAGCAUAGUGAUAGACUUCUUUUUUGAUGAUUUUGAUUGAGUUUAGUGAAGAGUCCAAUCCUAAGUGAAAUUUUGAUUUGAGAUUUGCUUAGUUCUACUUUUGAAUUAAAAUUAAUAUAAAAAUAUAAUUUUAAAUAAUAGGUAUUGAAAAAUCUUUUAAAGAUUAAUCGAUCUAUUCGUUCAGUGAUCUGUGAAAGGUAAGUAAUGAAUCAUUUUCUCGAGAUAUUUCAUAUUUAUUUUGAAAGCAAAUAUAAUUAUUCUUAGAAUUAUGCAUGAUUUAUGAAAUUAUGUUUUAAACGAAAAGUGAUUCUGAAAUACUAUGGUUUAUUGAUUAUACAUAUGUUCAGUGAAAAUUAUAAUUUGUUAUGAUAUAAAAAUAUUUUGAUACAUAUCGAAUUUAUGCUCUCAGCCUAACUAUAUUUCAAUGGGCCUCGUCAAUGGGGAUUAUACGUUGGUAUUCGGUAGACUCUGCCAGUGGGAGUUGUGUGCUGGUAUUUGGUGGAUCCUAUCAGUGAAGGUUGUGUGCUGAUAUUUAGUAAACUUUAUCAGUGGAAGUUGUGUACUGGUAUUCAGUGGACCCCACCAAUGGAAGUUAAACAUUGAUUAUAGUCGAGGCUGUUGAGUUAUGAGUAUUUUAAUUUGAAAUCAGAUUUAUGAUUAUAUUAUAUAUAAAUAUUUAAAAAAAAUUAGAUUUAUAUUGAAUUAGCAUGAAAUAUAUUUUUAUAUUUAUUCACAGUAUUUGUUCUAAAAAAUUAUAUAAAUAUCUGAAAUAUCUAGUUGAGAUAUUUAUUACUUAUUGGGCGUCUAGCUCAUUAUCUUUCUUUUUAUUUUUCAGAUUCAGAUAAUUAAUUAUGAGCGUAGAAAAUAAUAUUGAGACAGAGCUUUUAGAGGAGAGAUUUAGCAUUAUUAACUUUAUUGAAGUUAGAUCUAUUACUUUAUUUUUAGUAAAAUUUUAUUGGAUGUAAGAUAUUUGAUUUAAUUAUUUGAAUUAAAAUUAAAUAAUAAUUAUUUAAUUUUAUUCUGCUGUGAUGCAUUGAUAUCGUGAUGAGAUACCUUGCAUACUUGUGGAGAGAGCUUUUCAUAAAUAUGCGACGGUUGCCGUGACCUCCAGCUCACGAUCUCGCAUCGGGGGCGUGACAAUUAAAAUGAUAUUAGAGCAUAAGUGGACAAAUUAUGACAUAGAAUCAGACACGAGCGUAGGUGGGUAAACACUAGGAACAUUGAGAUGAUGACUAAUAUUAAUUAUGACAUAACUUGGAAACUUGAAUUUGAUACAAGUAUAUUGAUAGAUUUGAAUCAGAGUGCACAGUGGAAGUAUAGUAGUUUGAAUUAUUUUCAAAUUGAUCAGAACAGUAAUUUGAUUUGACAAAAAUAAUGAUGAAAGAUUCGAUUUUGAAAUUAGAGGAUGACAUGAUUUAACAUAAAAGUAAUCUGAAUUUUUUAGGACUUAAGCAGAAAAAAAAUUUCAAAGAUGAAAUUUCUUUUUAAUGGGGAAGAAUGUGAUACCCCCAACCAGAUCCAAUUAUCGUACAGAUCUCAAAACAUAAGCCAAAAAAAAAGAAAUACAUGAAAGAACUCCCGAAGGAGUUCUUCUCUGAUUCGAACUCCUAAAAUCCUUAAAAUUAGAGAUUAAAUCCAGCCCUAAUUCUUCCCUGUUUGAGGUCUAUUUAAGGGCCUCAAUCUCAUCAAUUUUUCUCACAAAAAAUCAUCAGUUAAAUCACUGAUUUUCUUCCCUCCUCUCAACCUAUUUGUCGAUGGAUAUAAUAUUCUUGUGGCCGUCGAAAAUCAAGUCAAACCCCAUCCAAAUAAAAUCUCUUCCAUCUUAUUCCUUCAAUCCUUUAGAGAUUUUUAUCUUAAAUUUUACUGAGUUUUUCUAUUGAAAAAUCUAUUUAAAAAUCAUUAUUUUUUGAGUUCCUUGUUUUCUGUUUUGUUUUGAUCUUUUCGGCUGCUGGUUGCUGUCACCGAUCAUCGGACCCAACUGCUCAAUGUCGUCGAGGUUUGCCCCAUCGGCUUGAGUGGUGGUCAGCCAGGGUAGAGGGCCUCCUCAUUAGGAACGAAGGGGAGCAAGAGCUCCCCUAUUCCAUGAAGAAAAAAAAAGGAACAGGACUGUGUGGGUCCUCUGCUCCCAUGCAAAAAAAGAAAAAAAGAUAAAUAACUAAAAAAAUAUGAUAGAGAGUUUUUCUCACUCUCUUCAAUCUGAACCCUUGAUUUCUCUCUCUAAAAUAUUGAAUUUUUUCUCUCUACUUUCUCUCUCUAGAUUGUUUCUCUCUCUUCAUGGAUUUGUUUUCCUCUCAAGUUAUCUUUUCAAGAUUAGCAUAGUGAUAGACUUCCUUUUUGAUGAUUUUAAUUGAGUUUAGUGAAGAAUCCGAUCCUAAGUAGGAUUUUGAUUUAGGAUUUGUUUAAAUCUAAUUUUGAAUGAAAAUUAAUAUAAAAAUAUAAUUUUAAAUAAUAGGUACUGAAGAAUCUCCUUAAGGUUAAUCGAUAUAUUCGUUCAGUGGUCUGUGAAAGGUAAGUAAUGAAUCAUCUUCUCGAGAUAUUUCAUAUUUAUUUUGAAAGCAAAUAUAAUUAUUUUUAGAAUUAUGCAUGAUUUAUGAAAUUAUAUUUUGAACGAAAAGUGAUUCUGAAAUACUAUUGUUUAUUGAUUAUGCAUAUAUUCAGUGAAAAUUAUGAUAUGUUAUGAUAUAAAAGUAUUUUGAUACAGAUCGAAUUUAUGCUCUUAGCCUAACUAUGUUUCAGUGGGCUCCGCCAAUGAGGAUCAUACGUUGGUAUUGAGUGGACCCUGUCAGUGGAGGUUGUGCGCUGAUAUUUAGUGGACCCUACCUGUAGGGGUUAUGUACUGGUAUUUAGUGGAUCCCGCCAAUAGGGGUUAAAUGUUGGUCAUAAUCGAGGCUAUUGAGUUAUGAGUGUUUUGAUUUGAAAUUAGAUUUAUGAUUAUAGUGUAUAUAAAUAUUUGAAAAAAAAAUAGAUUUACAUUGAAUUAGCAUGAAAUAUAUUUUUAUAUUUAUUCACGGUAUUGUUUUAGAAAAUUAUAUAAAUAUCUGAAAUAUCUAGUUGAGAUAUUUAUUACUUACUGGACUAUCUAGCUCAUUAUCUUUCUUUUUAUUUUUUAAAUUCAGAUAAUUAAUUAUGAGUGUGGGAAAUAAUAUUGGAACAGAGCUUUUAGAGGCGAGAUUUAGCAUUGUUAACUUUAUUGAAGUUAGAUCUAUUAUUUUAUUUUUAGUGAAACUUUAUUAGAUGUAAGGUAUUUGAUUUAAUUAUUUGAUUUUAUUCCACUGUGAUGCAUUGAUAUCGUGAUGAGAUGCCUUGCAUGCUUGUGGAGAGAGUUUUUCGUAAGUAUGCGACGGUUGCCAUGACCUUGGAUUCUCGAUCCCGGAUAAGAGAUGUGAUAAUAUAUAUAUAUAUAUAUAUAUAUAUAUAUAUAUAUAUAUAUAUAUAUAUAUAUAUAUAUAUAUAUAUAUAUAUAUAUAUAUAUAUAUAUAUAUAUANNNNNNNNNNNNNNNNNNNNUAUAUAUAUAUAUAUAUAUAUAUAUGCGCGCGCUGCUUUUCUUGUGGUUAGAUAACCUUGUGCGUACGCAUCCCGUUUCCGUUGUAUUAGUUUGGUGUUGGAUAACCUAGCUUGUAAUGGAAGAGCUUCUGUCUGCUA